CAAUAGCGUAUAUUAAAGUUGUUGCAGUUAAAAAGCUCGUAGUUGGAUUUCUGGUUGAAGCGACCGGUCGGGCGUUGAUUCGUCUGCACUGGAGUCGGUUUUGGCCAUCCUCUGGGAAAGUGCGUCUGGUAUUAAGUUAUCGGGCGUAUGAUCCUGGUCUUUUACUGUGAAAAAAUUAGAGUGUUUAAAGCAGGCCUUCGCCUUGAAUACAUUAGCAUGGAAUAAUAAGAUAGGACUUUGGUCUAUUUUGUUGGUUUGCAGACCGAAGUAAUGAUUAAUAGGGAUAGUUGGGGGUAUUUAUAUUCCGACGUCAGAGGUGAAAUUCUUAGAUUUUCGGAAGAUAAACUUAUGCGAAAGCAUUUACCAAGGAUGUUUUCAUUA
This 381-nucleotide ribosomal RNA is filed under the name uncultured eukaryote. RNAcentral describes it as "partial 18S ribosomal RNA". It matches the Rfam family "Eukaryotic small subunit ribosomal RNA", at positions 592 to 975 of the family's 1831-position model. The record is from RNAcentral.